This 73-nucleotide transfer RNA is filed under the name Marmota monax (woodchuck). RNAcentral describes it as "tRNA.Ala". The stretch from base 9 to 67 matches the Rfam family "tRNA", at positions 8 to 63 of the family's 71-position model. Rfam says of the family: Transfer RNA (tRNA) molecules are approximately 80 nucleotides in length. Their secondary structure includes four short double-helical elements and three loops (D, anti-codon, and T loops). The record is from RNAcentral. Lineage: Eukaryota; Metazoa; Chordata; Mammalia; Rodentia; Sciuridae.
UUGUGAUAUAGCUCAGUUGGUAGAGUGCUUGCCUUGCAUGCACAAGACCCCUGGGUUCAAUCCCCAGCAGAAG